RNAcentral lists this small RNA (132 nucleotides) under Salmonella enterica. RNAcentral's name for it is "RtT sRNA". It matches the Rfam family "RtT RNA". Rfam says of the family: This family represents a bacterial cis-regulatory element known as RtT RNA. The record is from RNAcentral. Lineage: Bacteria; Pseudomonadati; Pseudomonadota; Gammaproteobacteria; Enterobacterales; Enterobacteriaceae.
GUUUGCACUUGUCGGGGAAGGGUGAGAACCUUCGAUUAAGGUUCGACUCGAGCGAAAGCGAGAGAACGUUGCCAAGGGCAACGGCCCGUAGGGUGAGGAGCGAAGCGACGAAUAAUCCUUCCCCCACCACCA